This is a small nucleolar RNA of Arvicanthis niloticus (Nile rat), 129 nucleotides long. RefSeq annotates it as small nucleolar RNA SNORA17. The record is from RefSeq and is a predicted model, not a curated record. Lineage: Eukaryota; Metazoa; Chordata; Mammalia; Rodentia; Muridae.
CUGGCUCUAGAGGCAUUGUAAGUGUCCCUGCUCUGUCACAUGUGUGUCAGUAGGUGGCCAAGAAGAGAAAGUCUACGACUGUUUAGUGUUCUGAUUUAUGAACAUUUAAACAAUUAGUAGCCUAGCAUU